UAGCAAUAUUCUGUAGUCGGAGCGGCGCAAGGGUGCGUAACACGUGGGUAAUCUGCCAUGAAGUUUGGGAUAACUCGCUGAAAGGCGAGCUAAUACCGGAUGUGAAGAUUGGAAGGCAUCUUUUGAUCUUCAAAGCUGGGGACCGUAAGGCCUGGCGCUUCAUGAUGAGCCCGCGGCCUAUCAGCUAGUUGGUGAGGUAACGGCUCACCAAGGCUAAGACGGGUAGCUGGUCUGAGAGGACGACCAGCCACACUGGAACUGAGACACGGUCCAGACACCUACGGGUGGCAGCAGUCGAGAAUUUUUCACAAUGGGGGAAACCCUGAUGGAGCGACGCCGCGUGGGGGAUGAAUGGCUUCGGCCCGUAAACCCCUGUCAUUCGCGAACAAUGCCUGUGUAUUAACACCAUACAGGUUGAUAGUAGCGGAAGAGGAAGGGACGGCUAACUCUGUGCCAGCAGCCGCGGUAAUACAGAGGUCCCAAGCGUUGUUCGGAUUCACUGGGCGUAAAGGGUGCGUAGGCGGUCGGGUAAGUCUGAUGUGAAAUCUCACAGCUUAACUGUGAAACUGCAUUGGAUACUAUUCGGCUUGAGGUCUGGAGGGGGGACUGGAAUUCUCGGUGUAGCA
RNAcentral lists this ribosomal RNA (626 nucleotides) under uncultured Verrucomicrobiota bacterium. RNAcentral describes it as "bacterial SSU rRNA". It matches the Rfam family "Bacterial small subunit ribosomal RNA", at positions 77 to 680 of the family's 1533-position model. Lineage: Bacteria; Pseudomonadati; Verrucomicrobiota. The record is from RNAcentral.